This 369-nucleotide ribosomal RNA is filed under the name uncultured bacterium. Its description in RNAcentral is "bacterial SSU rRNA". It matches the Rfam family "Bacterial small subunit ribosomal RNA", at positions 796 to 1166 of the family's 1533-position model. The record is from RNAcentral.
CACGCCGUAAACGAUGGAUACUCGGUGUUGGCCCGCAAGGGUCGGUGCCUAAGCUAACGCAGUAAGUAUCCCACCUGGGAAGUACGAUCGCAAGGUUGAAACUCAAAGGAAUUGACGGGGGCCCGCACAAGCAGUGGAGCAUGUGGUUUAAUUCGAUGCAACGCGAAGAACCUUACCUGGGCUCGAAAGACUGGAUUAUCCGCCGGUGAAAGUCGGCGGAGUCGCAAGACAAUCCAGACAGGUGCUGCAUGGCUGUCGUCAGCUCGUGCCGUGAGGUGUUGGGUUAGGUCCCGCAACGAGCGCAACCCCUUUCCUUAGUUGCCAUCAGGUCAUGCUGGGAACUCUAAGGAGACUGCCUACGCAAGUAGU